This 440-nucleotide ribosomal RNA is filed under the name uncultured Roseiflexus sp. RNAcentral describes it as "bacterial SSU rRNA". It matches the Rfam family "Bacterial small subunit ribosomal RNA", at positions 338 to 795 of the family's 1533-position model. The record is from RNAcentral. Lineage: Bacteria; Bacillati; Chloroflexota; Chloroflexia; Chloroflexales; Roseiflexaceae.
CCUACGGGUGGCAGCAGUAAGGAAUUUUCGUCAAUGGGGGAAACCCUGAACGAGCAACGCCGCGUGGAGGAUGACGGUCUUCGGAUUGUAAACUCCUUUUGUGAGGGACGAUAAUGACGGUACCUCGCGAAUAAGCCCCGGCUAACUCUGUGCCAGCAGCCGCGGUAAUACAGAGGGGGCAAGCGUUGUCCGGAGUUACUGGGCGUAAAGCGCACGUAGGCGGUCCGAUAAGUGGUGUGUGAAACCAAUCAGCUUAACUGAUUGACGCCAUGCCAAACUGUCGGACUGGAGUCAUGGAGAGGUAGUUCGAAUUGCCGGUGUAGUGGUGAAAUGCGUAGAUAUCGGCAGGAAGACCAAGGGAGAAAUCAGACUACUGGCCAUUGACUGACGCUCAGGUGCGAAAGCGUGGGGAGCGAACUGGAUUAGAUACCCCUGUAGUC